RNAcentral lists this ribosomal RNA (497 nucleotides) under uncultured bacterium. Its description in RNAcentral is "partial 16S ribosomal RNA". It matches the Rfam family "Bacterial small subunit ribosomal RNA", at positions 28 to 507 of the family's 1533-position model. The record is from RNAcentral.
GACGAACGCUGGCGGCGUGCUUAACACAUGCAAGUCGAACGAACAGACCCUGAGCUUGCUCCUCUGACGUUAGCGGCGGACGUGUGAGUCACAUGAGUAGCCCCUACCUAUGAGACUGGGAUAACAUCGUGAAUCCGGAGCUAAUACCGUAUAAUAUCUUGAUGCGCAGGGUUGAAUAGUGAAUGACGGUUUUGCUGGCUCUUCUAGCUGGAUCCGCGCUGCUUUAGCUAGUUGGUACGGUAACGGCUUACGGAGGCAACGAUGCGUAGCCGACGUGAGAGGGUGAUCGGCCACACGGGAAGUGAGACACGGUCCAGGGUCCUACGGGAGGCACCAGUAGGGAAGCGUACGCAAUGGGGGGAAGCCUGACGGAGCGGCGCCAAGUGAGUGCUGAAAGUCUUCGGAUCGGAAAACUGUGUUAUGGGUGGAAAACAAAUGUGUAAGUAACUAUGCACGUCGUGACGGUACCUGAUCAGGAAGCAACGGCUAACUACGUG